AUUUACUCGCCCAUUGAUUACACCGGCAGAUUGUUUUGUUUGAAUUGUAGAAAUUCAGGCCACACGGGCAUUAUUCAUGCCAUGGCAGCUUUGUGUUUGUAUGUUUGUGUGUUUAUUUCUUGUUACCCACUGCAUUGUCUCCGCGUUGAUGAACUUUCUUUGUCUUAUCUAUGCUGAGAUUCAAGAGGUAGCACAAGCACACUUCUAAGCAUCUAAACACUUGUGUGUUGUGUAUCAUGUCAUCGCGAAUAGAAAUAGAAACUUGGCUGUUUGUGUUUACUUUACUCUUGACUCUUUUUUUUACUUUUUAAGUUUUAAUGGAAAGGUGCAAUUAAAAAUUCACUUUUCUUUGGAGGUUAGAAUAGUGAGACGCUUUUAAAACAUCAUCAACGAGAAGAAUGCGGAUAGAAUGUUCGAAAAGAGAAUUUUGAAGAGAAAUUUCAACGUUGUGAUGUUUACAAAAUCGCAGCCGUUUAAUUUUAAGCUUCGCGGAUAAAUAUCAGUAUUUCCACGGACAGGACAGGAUACUGUCAUGUCACACUCGACACGAAAAAUAGGUGCUUAAGAGGCGACUCGAAGCUGUUAAAACAGAUGCGCAAUACUCAUACUUGUGGUAUGUAAUGUAUUGCACACUGUACACUCGUAUAUCUUGUGUGCUGAGAUUGCUUCUCAACGAGAAAACAUUACCUAUCCCACAGUAGUAUGCGUUCCGACGCCCGACGCCUUACGCCAAGUUCGGAGCAAACCCACAUCCGACAUCCUCAUCCUCUUUUUUAUUGGUUUGUCGGGCAGCCACGGAGAGACAUUGAGGUACUUCCGGCGACCCGGCAGAGACAUGAAACGUUGCUUCCGGCCGAGUAGCUGUCGAGGCGUGUUCUCCUCUCCUUCCGGAUUGAAUCGAGAGACGCGCAAGAAGACUUGCGUCAUAUUUUACACUCGUAGAGAACAUGACGAUAUUAACACACACGCAUGACAUUUCUCGAACAUCUCACACAUUGCAUUGGUUUGUAGUCGUCGGAAAGCAUGACAGAUCAAACGGAUUACCCGCAAUCACCUCGCCAUAUGGAUGCACUCGUCAUCGUCGCACUCGCACAUCAACACGUCAUCCAACACGCCACGAGUAGUUUUCGAGUAGAGUCACACUUGAGAGCAACCGCACACAAUGCACAUAUACACAGAGAGACACGCGUCAUGUUUCGUAGGUGUGAUGAUGAUGAUGAUUUCUAAGUAGUGGUACUUUUUUUAUUUAGUAGAAUUUGUAUUUAUCGAUUUAAUUAUGCAUUUAGGUAGAACACAUUUUAGAUGACGCUUCUUAUCUAGAUACGCUAUAAGUAGUCAUUGUUAGUGGAUAUAGAUAUAAAUAUAAAUAUUGUGUUAGUUAAAGCGUUUAUAACUCAAGAACAGUUGGGUUGAUUUUGAUGAUUUAUGACUUUUUGGAUUCAUCUUGAUCCAGAAUAGCAGAAUAAGUAAUAAAACAUUCAAAAUUGUGAUCUAAAGGGUGUUAAAUAUGGGGUGAAACUUGCUAUAGAGAUUUUAUGAUACUUACAGUUGAAUAAUUCAAUCAGAGAUGGCGCUACAGUAUAUUAAUCGUGACUAAAGUGCUAUUUAGCGCACUUAAUAAUUAAUAUAUUAUUAAGUCGUAA
Dalotia coriaria is the source of this 1643-nucleotide long non-coding RNA. RefSeq lists it as uncharacterized. Lineage: Eukaryota; Metazoa; Arthropoda; Insecta; Coleoptera; Staphylinidae. The transcript has 3 exons. The record is from RefSeq and is a predicted model, not a curated record.